UUUUUGGUACCAGGGAUCAAACUCGUAACCUCAUGCUUGUCCAGCAGAUGCUUAUGCCACUGAGCUAAGUCCCUAGCUCAACUUUCUAAUUUCUUAGCAUUACAACUGAGGUAAACUGAAGAGCUGUAAAUGUUACUAGUUGAUGAAAGAAUACCCCUCUGUAUGAUCUGUUGGGUUAGUGAGGUCUCCCUGGAACAAAACAAUUAUCCACACUUAUCUGAAAUUUGCCACUAUCAUGCAAGGGAAGCGUGCUAAUAUUAUGUUAAGAUAAGUUUUGUUUUUCAGUCAAUGUGAGGAAAAAGGAACAGACUAGAGAUGAAACAGUUUCCUUGUGGCUCUUGGAGUUAACUGAAAGACAGAUUGUUCUUUGCAGUGAUGUUACUCAUGCUACUUGAUUAAGGAUUUGAACACUUUUAGAAAAGUCAAAUUUCAAACGCUUAUAACAUUUUUAGAAAAACCUUGUACUGAAACUUGACAAAUUGUAGCUCAGGGUGAGACUAGAUAAUUACAUGAAGAGAAGGAAAAAAGUAGGCACAGAUAAGCCUAUGGAGGAACAGAUUCACUUUUAAGAAUUCUUUGUUUGUUGGAGAUUUUCUCCAGUAAAAAGUCAAACUGAGUGAAAACCUUGCGACUUACAUGUACUAGUCAUGAGAUAAUGUGAACACAGUAAAAUUUAACCAGUGUUUUCUGUUAUGGGACAAAUUACUUUUAGUUUAUUUAAACAGAAUACUUUCACAGUGAUUUUACUGACUUCUAAUUCUUUGCAAAGAGGAUGCACCUAGAGAAAUUUUAAAAGACAGGAGGAAAUAUAAACAAAUGAUAAAUUCAGGGCAGGACCUUUGCUCUGGACACCUUGUUUUGUUGCAGCUGUAUUUCAUUUCUUUUUACUGCAUUUUUAACAGUAGAAAGCUUGGCUGCUAGUUAGUGGGUUCCACUCCCCCUCUUUUUCAGGGAGAAGCAGGGCAAAGAAAUUAUGAUGUGUGCCAUAUUGUAAAAGGAAACAUUUGCUUAGAAAUCUGUAGCUGACAUUUUUAUGCAGGAUCUUAUGCUUUCAAGGCAAUGAAAAGCUGGACAAUGUUUUCCUUUGAGAGUGUGAGGAGGAUCUCAAAUGAAAAUGGACCAUAUUUACUGGUAUCUGGUAAAAAUUGGUAUGUUUUGGUUCCUUUUCCCACUAGGUGUGGGUUGGCCACAAAUAUUGUGUGAUUAAGAUUGCUACAGACCUGGAGUUCAUCCUGAAUACUCUGCAGAGUUUGAACACUUAGAUUUUUACCUUUUCAUGGAAUCUUUUAAAAGUAUUUCUGAUAGUGUUUUAGUAAAAAUAUGAAGACAUGGAGUGUUCUUAGAGAAUUCUGUUGAUAUAAUUUUUUAAAUCAUUUAUAUGUUUAAGUAUUUGAAAUUUUCUUUUCUAAGGCUCACUAAAGAAUGAUAUAUUUUUGACAAAUUCAACAUUUCAUGCAAGAAUCCUUAUGGAAUUGUCCACAAUCAGCUUUCACCUCUGCAAGCAAAAUAUUUGUAGGGUCAGUGGCAGUGAAAAUAUAAAAGAUGUGACUGGAUGGAUGCAGUACACUGUGGUCUGAGUCACAGGUCUUGGUAAAGUUUGGAGGAAGUAAGAAGAGUCCAUUUUUGUGAUAGCCCUUGAGAAAGUACAAAUAUGUGCGGCGCCUUUACUGCAGCAGAUUACCAACAAAACAUAAGAUGCAGAAUGCCCUGGAGACUGAACAAGGUCCAUAUUUGCUGAGGCUCUAAAUUGGAGUAGUUAACUUGGAGCGGCUGCUCUCUGCCCUGCAGCAGGUGAGAAGGCAGACAGGUCAGCACGGGCUUUCUACUUUAGGAAUCAGUUUGCCAAGGAUGCCUUAGGAGCAGCUGCCCUGGUUUCCAGGUUCCAGAGCUUUCCACACCUUCUGGCUUGCGUUUGCUCCAGAGCUGCACGAGUCACUGACUGCACACAGCCUUGUUCACAGCGUGUGGCCAAACCCUUCUGAGACCUUCAUUCCUGGGGAAAGUGAGCCAAGGAGGACAUGGUGCGUGAGGCAGAUUUUAAAUAACACUGACCUUAUAAAAUUGCUCUUAAAUUUUUAAAAUCUACAUUGGCUCUUUUUAUUUCAAACCAUUUCCUCGUUGUCAUAGUCAAUAUUUGCAGAGGCUUUAUAGGAACACAAUAUAUCCUUUUUGUAUUUCCAUUCAAAACUAACUGUAUCUUUACGGCAGAUGGACUCCCUUUUUUUGCUGAAGGAAAUUUGUGCAGAUAAGAUGAAUGGCAACUAAGAGUUAAAUGGUGACUCAUUUGAUAGUCAAAGGUUAUCAGAAGGAAAAUAUGAAAUAAGGGACUACCCAACCUACUGAGGGACUCACUUUGUUCUCUUUUUUUCCCUGAAACACUCUUUGCAUUCUCUGAUAAACCAAACAGGAGACAAAGUGUAUAAUCCAAAAAAUAUACGAUAUCAUUUUGUCAGGGAAGAAAAUAAAUUACACUUAAUCUAUCUUACAGCUUUGUAAGUGAGUAAAUGUAGCAAUAUAAUAUAUAAAAGGAGAUGAAAUUAGCACUCUUUCAAUAUGAUUGCUGUUUUUCUUGAUAAUGAUCGAAUAGUAGUUGAUUUCAUAGAAAUAAAGGAGCAAUGUACAUUAAAUUGUGCUCUUGGGAUAUUAACCUGGCAUUACCUCUGCAAAAAAGGGACCAAGAUGAAGACUAGGAAAUGCAGUUUCAUUUUUGGUGCCAACAUAAUUUAAAAAAUCAAUAUUCAGCGUUAAAUUUGUUAUUAAAUAGCCAAAUGGCAGCAUGAAAAGACCUUAGGCAAUAAGCGCAGAGACAAGGGUUCUAGCUAGAAUUGGCUGUCUACUGACCUUAGUCAGGUUGCUUUACUGUGUUGAAAUUAACUUUGUAAACUUUAAUCUAGAAUAAGCUAAAUCCCCAGCACGUUUUAAAGGUCUUAACACAAAAAUUUUGGGAGAAGAAUGCUAUUUCCACACACACAUGCACGCACGUGCACACACACACACACACAUGA
Cavia porcellus (domestic guinea pig) is the source of this 3005-nucleotide long non-coding RNA. RefSeq lists it as uncharacterized. The transcript is spliced from 3 exons. The record is from RefSeq and is a predicted model, not a curated record. Lineage: Eukaryota; Metazoa; Chordata; Mammalia; Rodentia; Caviidae.